GAUGAAGAACGUAGCGAAAUGCGAUACGUAAUGUGAAUUGCAGAAUUCAGUGAAUCAUCGAAUCUUUGAACGCACAUUGCGCCUGCCAGCACUCUGGCAGGCAUGCCUGUUCGAGCGUCAUUUCAACCAUCAAGCCCUAGGCUUGCGUUGGAGCCCUGCGGCUGCCGCAGGCCCCUAAAAGCAGUGGCGGGCUCGCUAUCACACCGAGUGCAGUAGAUUACUCUUCGCUCAGGGCGUGUGGCGGGUUCCAGCCGUGAAACCCCCUACUUCUCAAGGUUGACCUCGGAUCAGGUAGGAAUACCCGCUGAACUUAAGCAUAUCAAUAGCGGAGGA
Molecule: unclassified non-coding RNA, 333 nt
Filed under: soil metagenome
Description: partial contains 5.8S ribosomal RNA, internal transcribed spacer 2, and large subunit ribosomal RNA
Rfam family: 5.8S ribosomal RNA (bases 1-120)
Source: RNAcentral